This 583-nucleotide long non-coding RNA is filed under the name Salmo trutta (river trout). RNAcentral's name for it is "lncRNA (ENSSTUG00000043296.1)". Lineage: Eukaryota; Metazoa; Chordata; Actinopteri; Salmoniformes; Salmonidae. The record is from RNAcentral.
CCAUCCAAAAACUCCUGGUAUCACUCAGCUUCCCCCAGCUCUUCAGCACAGUAUCAAACGGCGGGCGAUUGAGAGAUUCAAAAACUCCCCGUUCCACUACGGAAGCAGUCCCUACAGUCUCAAGGUGGAGCUUAACAAGCUGCUCCAGGGGUCUCCAGAGCUAAUGGUGUCAGACUCUGCCAGCUCAGACUGGUGGUCUCUGGUCCAGUCUUUUGGAGGAGACCAUCUAGGUGCUGCCAAGCAAGGUGAUAUGGAAAAUGGGAAUCAGCUAUGAGCAGAUGCAGGCCAUUAUAGAGGAGGUUCUGGAGGAGAAUGGAUACUACAACGCAAUGACGAAUGACCAGGGUGCAACAGGGACAAACAAGUGACCUCCAUCCUUAUAUAUCAUGUCUUUAUUAGCAUUUGCUAGUGUUUUCCAGUCACACUGUCGAAAUGGGCUAGCACUACAUUUCUUUGAGAGGCUGAUUACCUUGUGAAGGAAGUAGAUCAAUGAUACACAGUCUGCAUAAAGGGGAAGUGUUUCACGACAGGCUCAAACAGAGACAAAUAGGGUCAGAGUACUGAUUUCGGGUCAAAGAAAGCA